CACUUGAAACCUUUGAGAAGUGAAAAGUGGGGGGAAAUUUAACAAAAGGUUUUGUUCAGCUUUCAUAAAUUCAAAUACUAAUUGAGGCUGGGAUCUUGCCUAACUCAACACUAAAAAAAAAAAUUUAACCCAAAUGGGUAAAAUUUUUUUGUAUUGUAGAAUUCAGUCUUAGUAUUUGACAUAAUGAAGUACCUACUUGAAAAGAUUCCUUGGCAAAUUACCCCUCAACUUGGGUGUUUUCACUUCUCCAAGGUUUUUACGUGCACACCUAAAUACAACCGACGGCAUAACGCUAAAAGUCACUUUGCACUUCAGGACUAUGAAAAUCAUAUAUUUUAAAAUGUAUAAAAUGACCACCUAAUUGAAAAAGUUUUUUCUAUACAUUAUUAUCAUUUUCACUAUUUUAUGUAAUAGAAAAGAAUUCAGCGUUAGAAAUCAGUUCUGUUAGCAUGAAAUAAAAAAAAAACUUUAGAAAAAGCGAGUCUUAAUAAUUGACUACCUGCUUCUCAUAUUAGAUGUCUGAAUAACCUCCAAAUUCCAAAUCGCCUCAAUUGCUGAGGAGUUCCAGUGACAGAGGGCGUACAUGGGAAAUCUAACUUUCAGCGCCCUCACCGAUUGAAUUUUAUCCUGUUCCGGUUACCCCGGUCACAGAAGAGGAAACAAUGCCCGGUCCACAUUCAGGUCAAAUAAGUGCACAGACUCCGAACGAACCAAAGUCGAUAUUGAUCAAUAAGAACAAGAAGCAAGACGUGUAACAGUGUGAAGUACAAAUAAUGCAUGUAUGAAUUUUUUCAGAUAGGCUUAUAGUUUUAUUUAUAUAUCCAUAUCCAAGAUGACUUCUCAUCUAACUAAGAAACAAUUAACUUUAAGAAGCAGACAAUUGAAUCCGUGUGAUCAUUUGUUCUGGAAAAGCAGAGGUUAUUCAGAGAGGCCACAAAACUGGAAAGAUAUUCCGGAGGAAAUGAGAAAUUUCAAUGGUA
Long non-coding RNA from Leptinotarsa decemlineata (Colorado potato beetle), 980 nucleotides. The record is from RefSeq and is a predicted model, not a curated record. NCBI's taxonomy places the organism in Eukaryota, Metazoa, Arthropoda, Insecta, Coleoptera, Chrysomelidae.